This 490-nucleotide ribosomal RNA is filed under the name uncultured bacterium. Its description in RNAcentral is "partial 16S ribosomal RNA". It matches the Rfam family "Bacterial small subunit ribosomal RNA", at positions 30 to 507 of the family's 1533-position model. The record is from RNAcentral.
AUUGAACGCUGGCGGCAGGCCUAACACAUGCAAGUCGAUCGGUAACAGGAAGAAGCUUGCUUCUUUGCUGACGAGUGGCGGACGGGUGAGUAAUGUCUGGGAAACUGCCUGAUGGAGGGGGAUAACUACUGGAAACGGUAGCUAAUACCGCAUAACGUCGCAAGGCCAAAGAGGGGGACCUUCGGGCCUCUUGCCAUCGGAUGUGCCCAGAUGGGAUUAGCUAGUAGGUGGGGUAACGGCUCACCUAGGCGACGAUCCCUAGCUGGUCUGAGAGGAUGACCAGCCACACUGGAACUGAGACACGGUCCAGACUCCUACGGGAGGCAGCAGUGGGGAAUAUUGCACAAUGGGCGCAAGCCUGAUGCAGCCAUGCCGCGUGUAUGAAGAAGGCCUUCGGGUUGUAAAGUACUUUCAGCGGGGAGGAAGGGAGUAAAGUUAAUACCUUUGCUCAUUGACGUUACCCGCAGAAGAAGCACCGGCUAACUCCGUG